This 441-nucleotide ribosomal RNA is filed under the name uncultured bacterium. Its description in RNAcentral is "partial 16S ribosomal RNA". It matches the Rfam family "Bacterial small subunit ribosomal RNA", at positions 338 to 795 of the family's 1533-position model. The record is from RNAcentral.
CCUACGGGAGGCAGCAGUAGGGGAUAUUGCACAAUGGGGGAAACCCUGAUGCAGCGACGCCGCGUGGGCGAAGAAGUAUUUCGGUAUGUAAAGGCCUAUCAGCAGGGAAGAAGAAAUGACGGUACCUGAGUAAGAAGCACCGGCUAAAUACGUGCCAGCAGCCGCGGUAAUACGUAGGGUGCAAGCGUUAUCCGGAUUUACUGGGUGUAAAGGGAGCGUAGGCGGAUUUUUAAGUCAGCGGUAAAAUGUCCGGGCUCAACCCGGGCCGGCCGUUGAAACUGGGGAUCUUGAGUGGGCGAGAAGUAUGCGGAAUGCGUGGUGUAGCGGUGAAAUGCAUAGAUAUCACGCAGAACUCCGAUUGCGAAGGCAGCAUACCGGCGCCCGACUGACGCUGAGGCACGAAAGCGUGGGGAUCGAACAGGAUUAGAUACCCUUGUAGUC